Long non-coding RNA from Populus euphratica (Euphrates poplar), 1378 nucleotides. RefSeq lists it as uncharacterized. The transcript has 2 exons. The record is from RefSeq and is a predicted model, not a curated record. NCBI's taxonomy places the organism in Eukaryota, Viridiplantae, Streptophyta, Magnoliopsida, Malpighiales, Salicaceae.
GCAGAAGAGUCAGGAUUAACUGUUGACAAUGGAAAUAUCAUUGGAAUGAACAUAUUUGCUUCCCAAAUGAGAUGAGUUCUUGUAUAUACAGCAGUUAAAGGCAUGGUGAAGCUAGAAGAUUUUUUUUGAACGGGGCCAUUACAAAAUUAAUACAAGGUUUUUCUGAAAACUCCAAGGCAUAAGGUGGGUUAGGGAAACUUGGAAUUCUUGAGAACUAAUGACAUGGAGGCCAUGUUCAUCACAGUGGACAGAACAACAAUUAGAAAUGAAGAAUGAGGAAAUCAAUUCUCGAUACGCUGCAGUAUCAGCUGCACGAAAUGCAUGGUGCACAGGCCAUUCAGGGCAACAUCACAAAAUCAGUGUGCAAACAUCCUGGGAUCCUAACUAUCUUAACAUGAUGAUAUUGAAAUGUGAAAAAUUGAUUUAUAAGAAAUUUUAGCUAGAAAAAUGCAUAAAAAUUGUAGCCAAACUCUCGAACUUGCAUUGGAAGUUCCUUUUCCAGCAUCAAAUAAAAAAUCUACUUCCAUCUCAUCAUAUUUUAUACCCUUCCUCUCAUUCCACUCAAAAAAAUUUCAAACAACGUCAAAGCUUUACUUUCUAAACAUGUGCUACAUCUCUGGCCGCUGAAAACCACUUCAGAUGUGCAAUUCGAUCUUUGCCUACACCAAAAUUUCAAUAAUAGGAAGGCAGUAUAACACAAUGAACUUAAUAAGUAGGCUAUCUCUAGAGAAAACAUUUAUAUUACGAUUCUAAAUAUAAAAGACACUUUAAGUUUACAUCACCAAAUUUGUCAAAGUUCAGUUCAUUUCCUUUGAAAUAUCUAUUCAAAGCAAACUUGGACAAACUUUGGUAAUAAAUAGCAGAAUUGAGCCUGUUUUUCUUCUGAUUAUGUAUUUAAGUUCAAAUACUAUACAAGUUAAAAGCCAAGAAAGUGGACAUAUAUGGAUGGAAUCAUUAACCAUGUUUUAAGCUUUUGGGUUUAAGGCACUGUAUCAUGUUAUCAACGCUCCGCAUAUGGCUCAUGCAAAAAGACUUUCCUGUGAUCAUCCCCAAAACAAUUGUGAUAAUGCAACUAGCCAAAACCACUAGGAGGCUAUAUGAUCAAACAAAUCCCGAGGGCACCAAUAGAAAAUGAUCCAAACCACAAGGGAGUUUUCAGAAAUCUCCUCCGUCUACACACAUAGAAGCAAGUUGCAUACUAAUGGGAUACAAAAUCAUGUAUCAGCACUUGGUGAUCUUCAAGAUGUUCAAAAUUCAGUAGCAUAUGCCUCCAAUCUCUUAUAUGAAGGAAGGCUUCUAUGCAUUUUUAUGCACCCAGCAUCUUUCCCUUCCCUACACUUCUAGGCCAAUUUUUUACAAGGAAAACGAGAAUUAAAAA